This 1876-nucleotide long non-coding RNA is filed under the name Sus scrofa (pig). RNAcentral's name for it is "lncRNA (ENSSSCG00045017580.1)". The record is from RNAcentral. Lineage: Eukaryota; Metazoa; Chordata; Mammalia; Artiodactyla; Suidae.
GAGGCGGCGCGGCAGCGGCUCUCUCAGAGAGGGCAGGGCGGGCAAGGGCGGGACUGGCCCGCUGUUGGCGGACUGGGGAGCCGCGGAGCUAACGGGUCUGGACGCAGGCGGCGGCGGCGGCUUUUUCUGAGCUGACGGAGGCGGCGGCAGGAGCGGCGAGCAUGGCCCGUGCGACGCCGGGCGCUGACUGAGUUCGAUAAGAGGGAAGAGAUAGACUCCUUGAGUUUUAUCCUCCCGACAGCUGCCUUCUCUCAGCCGGCCCCACAGAUACUGUCUAUUGUGGCCCUGCUCGUGCUCUGUCUCCGUGCCUUCCUGACAGUCACAACCCCUGGCUUCAGCCCUGCUGCGCUUCCCCUGCCUGGCCGCCAGCUCCCGUUCCAUCUGUGGUAUUUACCCCCAGAGAAAAGAGAGUAUGUGCCCACAAAAUGACUUGUACAUGAAAGUCCAGGCAGUUUUACUCACAACCAAAAACUGGAAACAAGUCAACUGUCCAAAGGUGAACAAGAACAACUGCUGAUAUACAUAACAUGGACUGAUCUCCAAAACAUGGUGCUGAGCAAAAGAAGCCAGACUCGCAGGAGUGUUUUAUGAAGUUCAAGAACAAGUAAACCUAAUCUGUGGUGACACGACUUAGCCAAAUGGGAGAGUGGUGAGUGAUGAUCAGGGAAGAGCUCGAGGGAGCUCCCUGGAGUGAUGGAAAUGCUCGGUAUUAUUAUAUUUGGCUGCACCUGGGCAUGCCAAAAUUCCUGGUCCAGGGAUUGAACCCAAGCCACAGCAGCGACCCAGGCCGCUGCAGUGACAAUGUCAGAUCCUUAACUGCUAGACCCUCAGGGACCUCUGGAAAUACUGGGCGCUUACACACAUGCACAAGUAGGUAAACACGUACCAAGCUCUACACGGAGAGAGUUGCUGUUGUGGGUCAGCGGUAACCACCCGGACUAGUGUCCACAAGGACGUGGGUUUGUUCCCUGGCCUCACUCAAUCAGUUAAUGAUCCGGCAUUGCUGUGAGCUGUGGAUCGCCUGUGAGGCUGUGGCUGUGACUUAGGCCGGCAGCUGCAGCUCUGAUUCCACACCUAGCCUGGGAACUUCCAUUGGCCUCAGAUGUGGCCCUAAUAAAACAAAAACAAACAAACAAAAACAUCUGCAUUGAAAGACUUCUGCAUCCUAUUACACAAGAAUUAAACCUCCAUGGAAAAAAGAUUGUCCCAAGUAGGGGCAAGAUUUUGCAGGGAAAUGAAACAGCCUAUUCAACCUAAGCUUUAAAUCUGCUUAAUAGGACAAGCGGGCUGAACUCACCAGCCUUGUAAUUAAUCGAUUCUAAUAUUCAACCUUUGUGUGAGAUACCAUUUAUUCCCACCCAAACCUGAGGAGGAUUACAAUCUCUGAGGAUGUCUGCUCUCAGAUGUCAAAAAAUAAAUUAGCUCAGGAGCUGUCUAAUCUCUCAGUCCGUUCCCACACCAUAUUUUCUGUGAGAAAGAUGUCUUAAAAUUUUUCUUUAAAAAAACUGCUACUGGGACAUACUCAUGUCCGUAUUUAUUAAGUUAAUGGCACAUUUUCCUCUCUGACAUUGUUCCCACCAGCGGUGAUGAGUGUUUUUAAAAAUUUGCUCCGGAGUUCCCGUCGUGGCGCAGUGGUUAACGAAUCCGACUAGGAACCAUGAGGUUGCGGGUUCGGUCCCUGCCCUUGCUCAGUGGGUUAACGAUCCAGCGUUGCCGUGAGCUGUGGUGUAGGUUGCAGACACGGCUCGGAUCCCGCGUUGCUGUGGCUCUGGCGUAGGCCGGUGGCUACAGCUCCGAUUCAACCCCUAGCCUGGGAACCUCCAUAUGCCGCAGGAGCGGCCCAGAGAAAUAGCAACAAUAACAAAAACAACAACAA